UUAAGCGACUAAGCGUACACGGUGGAUGCCCUGGCAGUCAGAGGCGAUGAAGGACGUGCUAAUCUGCGAUAAGCGCCGGUAAGGUGAUAUGAACCGUUAUAACCGGCGAUUUCCGAAUGGGGAAACCCAGUGUGAUUCGUCACACUAUCAUUAACUGAAUCCAUAGGUUAAUGAGGCGAACCGGGGGAACUGAAACAUCUAAGUACCCCGAGGAAAAGAAAUCAACCGAGAUUCCCCCAGUAGCGGCGAGCGAACGGGGAGGAGCCCAGAGCCUGAAUCAGCAUGUGUGUUAGUGGAAGCGUCUGGAAAGGCGCGCGAUACAGGGUGACAGCCCCGUACACAAAAGCGCAUGUGCUGUGAGCUCGAUGAGUAGGGCGGGACACGUGGUAUCCUGUCUGAAUAUGGGGGGACCAUCCUCCAAGGCUAAAUACUCCUGACUGACCGAUAGUGAACCAGUACCGUGAGGGAAAGGCGAAAAGAACCCCGGCGAGGGGAGUGAAAAAGAACCUGAAACCGUGUACGUACAAGCAGUGGGAGCACCCUUCGGGGUGUGACUGCGUACCUUUUGUAUAAUGGGUCAGCGACUUAUAUUCUGUAGCAAGGUUAACCGUAUAGGGGAGCCGGAGGGAAACCGAGUCUUAAUUGGGCGUUAAGUUGCAGGGUAUAGACCCGAAACCCGGUGAUCUAGCCAUGGGCAGGUUGAAGGUUGGGUAACACUAACUGGAGGACCGAACCGACUAAUGUUGAAAAAUUAGCGGAUGACCUGUGGCUGGGGGUGAAAGGCCAAUCAAACCGGGAGAUAGCUGGUUCUCCCCGAAAGCUAUUUAGGUAGCGCCUCGUGAAUUCAUCUCCGGGGGUAGAGCACUGUUUCGGCUAGGGGGCCAUCCCGGCUUACCAACCCGAUGCAAACUGCGAAUACCGGAGAAUGUUAUCACGGGAGACACACGGCGGGUGCUAACGUCCGUCGUGAAGAGGGAAACAACCCAGACCGCCAGCUAAGGUCCCAAAGUCAUGGUUAAGUGGGAAACGAUGUGGGAAGGCCCAGACAGCCAGGAUGUUGGCUUAGAAGCAGCCAUCAUUUAAAGAAAGCGUAAUAGCUCACUGGUCGAGUCGGCCUGCGCGGAAGAUGUAACGGGGCUAAACCAUGCACCGAAGCUGCGGCAGCGAACGUAUCACCCAAGACAACUUUACGGAGUUGACGAUUGACGGAGCGAAGCGACGUCAAAGCGUUCAUUAAAGUCGAGUUGGCUUAGGGAUACGUUCGUUGGGUAGGGGAGCGUUCUGUAAGCCUGUGAAGGUGUGUCGUGAGGCAUGCUGGAGGUAUCAGAAGUGCGAAUGCUGACAUAAGUAACGAUAAAGCGGGUGAAAAGCCCGCUCGCCGGAAGACCAAGGGUUCCUGUCCAACGUUAAUCGGGGCAGGGUGAGUCGACCCCUAAGGCGAGGCCGAAAGGCGUAGUCGAUGGGAAACGGGUUAAUAUUCCCGUACUUGGUGUUACUGCGAAGGGGGGACGGAGAAGGCUAUGUUGGCCGGGCGACGGUUGUCCCGGUUUAAGCGUGUAGGUGUGUGUUCCAGGUAAAUCCGGUUCACUUUAACACUGAGGCGUGACGACGAGGCACUACGGUGCUGAAGCAACAAAUGCCCUGCUUCCAGGAAAAGCCUCUAAGCAUCAGGUAACAUCAAAUCGUACCCCAAACCGACACAGGUGGUCAGGUAGAGAAUACCAAGGCGCUUGAGAGAACUCGGGUGAAGGAACUAGGCAAAAUGGUGCCGUAACUUCGGGAGAAGGCACGCUGACACGUAGGUGAAGUGAUUUACUCAUGGAGCUGAAGUCAGUCGAAGAUACCAGCUGGCUGCAACUGUUUAUUAAAAACACAGCACUGUGCAAACACGAAAGUGGACGUAUACGGUGUGACGCCUGCCCGGUGCCGGAAGGUUAAUUGAUGGGGUCAGCGCAAGCGAAGCUCCUGAUCGAAGCCCCGGUAAACGGCGGCCGUAACUAUAACGGUCCUAAGGUAGCGAAAUUCCUUGUCGGGUAAGUUCCGACCUGCACGAAUGGCGUAAUGAUGGCCAGGCUGUCUCCACCCGAGACUCAGUGAAAUUGAACUCGCUGUGAAGAUGCAGUGUACCCGCGGCAAGACGGAAAGACCCCGUGAACCUUUACUAUAGCUUGACACUGAACAUUGAGCCUUGAUGUGUAGGAUAGGUGGGAGGCUUUGAAGUGUGGACGCCAGUCUGCAUGGAGCCGACCUUGAAAUACCACCCUUUAAUGUUUGAUGUUCUAACGUGGACCCGUAAUCCGGGUUGCGGACAGUGUCUGGUGGGUAGUUUGACUGGGGCGGUCUCCUCCUAAAGAGUAACGGAGGAGCACGAAGGUUGGCUAAUCCUGGUCGGACAUCAGGAGGUUAGUGCAAUGGCAUAAGCCAGCUUGACUGCGAGCGUGACGGCGCGAGCAGGUGCGAAAGCAGGUCAUAGUGAUCCGGUGGUUCUGAAUGGAAGGGCCAUCGCUCAACGGAUAAAAGGUACUCCGGGGAUAACAGGCUGAUACCGCCCAAGAGUUCAUAUCGACGGCGGUGUUUGGCACCUCGAUGUCGGCUCAUCACAUCCUGGGGCUGAAGUAGGUCCCAAGGGUAUGGCUGUUCGCCAUUUAAAGUGGUACGCGAGCUGGGUUUAGAACGUCGUGAGACAGUUCGGUCCCUAUCUGCCGUGGGCGCUGGAGAACUGAGGGGGGCUGCUCCUAGUACGAGAGGACCGGAGUGGACGCAUCACUGGUGUUCGGGUUGUCAUGCCAAUGGCACUGCCCGGUAGCUAAAUGCGGAAGAGAUAAGUGCUGAAAGCAUCUAAGCACGAAACUUGCCCCGAGAUGAGUUCUCCCUGAGACUUAGAGUCUCCUGAAGGAACGUUGAAGACGACGACGUUGAUAGGCCGGGUGUGUAAGCGCAGCGAUGCGUUGAGCUAACCGGUACUAAUGAACCGUGAGGCUUAACCUU
This 2988-nucleotide ribosomal RNA is filed under the name Salmonella enterica subsp. enterica serovar 4,[5],12:i:-. RNAcentral's name for it is "bacterial LSU rRNA". It matches the Rfam family "Bacterial large subunit ribosomal RNA". RNAcentral also lists the same sequence under 2 other names. The record is from RNAcentral. Lineage: Bacteria; Pseudomonadati; Pseudomonadota; Gammaproteobacteria; Enterobacterales; Enterobacteriaceae.